This is a long non-coding RNA of Bacillus rossius redtenbacheri, 1801 nucleotides long. RefSeq lists it as uncharacterized. The record is from RefSeq and is a predicted model, not a curated record. The transcript has 4 exons. NCBI's taxonomy places the organism in Eukaryota, Metazoa, Arthropoda, Insecta, Phasmatodea, Bacillidae.
GUUUUGGAGCGAAAAAACAUAAUCUAAAAAACUUUGUCUACGCAAUCAUGUGUUUUAUGAACAGAAAAUUAUGCCGCGAGGGACUUUAAGAUCCUGCUCCGGACACUAAAGGAGAGGCAGUGCUACCCCCUGUGCCCCGCUUCCCCCCGGGCAGCAGGCAGGAGCGGUACCGAAUGUGGCUCAACUGCCACAUGCAGAGAACAGCAGAAAGCAUGAACUUCCGCAUUGUUUGCAUGGAUGGAAUAUUCCGCAGAUCGGAUGGGUCUGUGAGGUCGGAGUUUUUCGAGAGGUAUACAUGGGAGCCAACAGAAAACCAGACCACGUGCACUGGAACCAACAAGGCAUGGAAGCAUUAGUGAGAUUUUUAAAACAAAUUUUGUGAAAAAUAUAUAUGGACACAUAUGAAAUAAAAUAAUUUCUUAAUGUAUUACUGUUAACAAUAAUUGGAAUUGUAAUAGUUUUGCAACGUUACGGCAUUGCGAAAAUAUAAAUUUUGUUAAUUUUGCAUUGUGUUUCUUUACAAUCGUUGGCUUGAAAUUCCAAACACCAUUCAACCGAAAACUCUAUGAUACAAGUGAAAUGUUAUCUAAAAGAUGCCCUAUACAUGGCUUUGUCCUUCUUACCUUUUAUUACACAAGAAAUGCAUACUUUAAAAUUUCAAUUUUCUUAUUAUUUCAGUCAUAUUUUAACGAUAUGGGGUCAUUCCAUGUCAAAUCAACCAAAAAAAAAUACUGUAUUCAACCCGACCUUCUCAGAUUUGUCUGAAUUUUGGUAUGGUGGUAGCCCUAGUAAAUAAUAACAUAGAGCAAUUUUUAUUUUAUUAUUAUCCCUUCCAGUUUUUGAGUUGUACAGUUGCAAAAGUGGUCAAAAUUCAGUUUUUUUUUUGCUCGCAAUCAAAUGAUGAUUUAUUUAUAGGUUGAGUUCUAAUAAAGCUGGAACAGUGAAAAUAAGCUCAUUUUUGAGCUUAUUUGCUGGGCUUUAAUUUGAUAUACAACAUAAAAACAUUUUUAAAAAAAUUCACUUUUCAAAAACUUUAAAAAUUGUAUAUACUGGUACUGGUUUUUGAAAAACUUUACUUUUAAAAUUCUGAAAAUAAUAUAUGUUAAAGAACAACAUACUGACUAUGUGUGCUGAAAGUUUUAUUAUGGGAUGCCAAUGGGAUCAUAUUAAAAUACAAUUUUAUGCAGAAGAGUGGUUAUUUUUAUCAUAGGAAUUCACUGCUUAUUUUGUUCUUAUUCUACUCUCCCUGUAGUUAUAGGGUAAAUAAGAUUAAAGUUUUUUUUACCGCAAAUCAGCUGAGAUUAUCAAGGUUUCUUUGUUUCUCUCCAAUUCUCAAGUUUACCCUCCAAUUCUUGACAUAUCUUUAUAUAUAUAUAUUUCUUGUGUGCGUGUGUAUGUCACUGAACUCCUCCUAGACGGCUGGACCGAUUUUGAUGAAAUUUUUUGUGUGAGUUCACGGGGAUUCGAGGAUGGUUUAGAUUCACAAUUGGAUAUUUUAUCUCGAUUCUGAGCUAAGAAAAAAAUAAAAAAACACGCUUUAAAAGCAAAAAAACUAAGCAAUGUUGAUAAUUAGCCUCCAUGGCAACGGGCUUUUGCAUUGUUGUUGCCUUCUGCGUAAACAUGGGAAAGGUUUUUGUUUUUGGUAACGGCAGUGGCGUGCCCAUGAGGAGGGGUAUGUAUAAUGAGAAGAUACAAAAUGUCCAGCGUAGAAAUACUUACCGCCAUAUGUACAUUUGGGCAGGACAAUGUCUGUCGGGUCCGCUAGAAAGAUAUAUAGAGAUAUAUAUGUAGAAAGAUAUAU